GGCGCCCCUUCGAGCUGCAGGAGGCCAUCCGGGAGCUGCAGAGCGAGAAUGCCCAGCUGCAGGGCCGGGUGCAGAACCUGAGCCAGGCCCUGGGCGAGCUGCGUCUGCUCGUCUGGAACCGCUCGCGGGAUUCAGGAGCUGCGCCCGAGCACCUACUCCAUGACCACCUGCCCUGCCGGCCGGACCCGCCCCACGGCCGCGGCGCUGCCCCCCAACUCCACGCCCCUUGCCUGGGGCGGCUGGCGGCCGGCCUGAUCCUGGGGGCGCUGGCCCUGCACGGCCCCCUCCUGCUGCUGGCGGGGGACUGAGACACCGCGUGCCCCUGGCUGUGUGUGUGUGGGGGGGACUGCCCCCCACCCUGUUAGAAGCCUGAGGAGCAAAGAACAAUGAGGGGAGGGGCUGGAGUUGGGACAGAUUUGGGGUGGCCAAUCCCCCCUCACCCUACAACCCUGCAACAAUAAACAGCCUGGGGCAACAUGGAU
Long non-coding RNA from Malaclemys terrapin pileata, 482 nucleotides. RefSeq lists it as uncharacterized. The record is from RefSeq and is a predicted model, not a curated record. The transcript is spliced from 2 exons. Lineage: Eukaryota; Metazoa; Chordata; Testudines; Emydidae.